This 255-nucleotide ribosomal RNA is filed under the name uncultured bacterium. RNAcentral describes it as "partial 16S ribosomal RNA". It matches the Rfam family "Bacterial small subunit ribosomal RNA", at positions 524 to 776 of the family's 1533-position model. The record is from RNAcentral.
UACGAAGGGGGCUAGCGUUGUUCGGAAUCACUGGGCGUAAAGCGCACGUAGGCGGAUUUUUAAGUCAGGGGUGAAAUCCCGGGGCUCAACCUCGGAACUGCCCUUGAUACUGGAGAUCUUGAGUCCGGGAGAGGUGAGUGAACUGCGAGUGUAGAGGUGAAAUUCGUAGAUAUUCGCAAGAACACCAGUGGCGAAGGCGGCUCACUGGCCCGGAACUGACGCUGAGACGCGAAAAGCGUGGGGGAGCAAAACAGG